RNAcentral lists this ribosomal RNA (661 nucleotides) under Coelachyrum burttii. RNAcentral describes it as "eukaryotic LSU rRNA". The stretch from base 243 to 398 matches the Rfam family "5.8S ribosomal RNA". Lineage: Eukaryota; Viridiplantae; Streptophyta; Magnoliopsida; Poales; Poaceae. The record is from RNAcentral.
ACCUGCGGAAGGAUCAUUGUCGUGACCCUAACCAAAACAGACUGUGAACAUGUCAUCCAUGCCGCCUGGUGAAGGGUCUAGCACCCAUCUCCUGGUCCAGGGCAACUUGCUCCUUAUGGGGAAGGUUGCCCAAAAGAACCUACGGCGCCGUAUGGCGUCAAGGAAAACUAAUAUUGCUUUGCUCGGGGCCUCGUUCGGCUUGCUGGAUGUACCCCGUGCAGCGAUGCUAUGUUAAGUCACAUGACUCUCGGCAACGGAUAUCUCGGCUCUCGCAUCGAUGAAGAACGUAGCAAAAUGCGAUACCUGGUGUGAAUUGCAGAAUCCCGUGAACCAUCGAGUUUUUGAACGCAAGUUGCGCCCGAGUCCUUUUGGCCGAGGGCACGUCUGCCUGGGCGUCACGCCAAAUGACACUCCCCGCCCAUCCUGGUGUGGACGUGGUUGGUGGCCCCUCAUGCUCUCGGGCACGGUGGGCCAAAGUUGGAGCUGCUGGCGGUGCCGAUCGCAGCACUUGGUGGAUGACGGAAGUUAUUCUCGCUGCUCGAUUGAAACCGCAUGGCUAUGUAAUGGCUCGUUGGACCCAUUAACUGAAGUGCAUGCACCUCGGACCGCGACCCCAGGUCAGUCGGGACUACCCGCUGAAUUUAAGCAUAUCAAUAAGCGG